ACUGCUAGAGGCACACCCCUUGGUGAUGUUCGAGGGCCUAACAUUGAUGCAGAAAUCAUUAGCUGUCAACCCUGAUCUCGAGGUUUUGAGUAACCAAGUUACAAUGGGAGAACCGAGUGCACCUGAUCUCGAGAUUUUGAGUAAGCAAGUUACAAUGGGAGAACUGUCUGCACCUGAUCUCGAGAUUUUGAGUAACCAAGUUACGAUGGGAGAACCGAGUGCACCUUAUCUCGAGGUUUUGAGUAACCAAGUUACAAUGGGAGAACCGAGUGCAUAGGCUUUGUAGCUUAUGCUCUCUAAUGGAUGAUUAGAAGCCCGACCUUUGUAUAUAGGGCUUUGUAGCGUAUAUGUAGCGGCAUAUGCUCUCAUGUCCUAGUGCUUUAGGUGCCUCAUUUCAAGCCUGUGAAGUCAGUUUAGUACUGUAGAUCUUAGAGGUUAGUCCGUUGCAGUAGUAUGUUGUGUCAGCAGAUCGUUUUUGGUGGAAAAUUUUGAGCUCUUUGAGUCUCUUAGAGCAUCUCCAAUAGACGAUGUAGAUGCAAAAAUAACUAUCUUUUACAUCUCCGAGGCCCCAAAACACUGCUCCAACA
RNAcentral lists this long non-coding RNA (587 nucleotides) under Triticum aestivum (bread wheat). RNAcentral's name for it is "long non-coding RNA (TAES_LNC001244)". Lineage: Eukaryota; Viridiplantae; Streptophyta; Magnoliopsida; Poales; Poaceae. The record is from RNAcentral.